This 517-nucleotide ribosomal RNA is filed under the name uncultured Gram-positive bacterium. Its description in RNAcentral is "bacterial SSU rRNA". It matches the Rfam family "Bacterial small subunit ribosomal RNA", at positions 8 to 521 of the family's 1533-position model. The record is from RNAcentral.
AGAGUUUGAUCCUGGCUCAGGAUGAACGCUGGCGGCGUGCUUAACACAUGCAAGUCGAACGGAGUGCCUUUGAAAGAGGAUUCGUCCAAUUGAUAAGGUUACUUAGUGGCGGACGGGUGAGUAACGCGUGAGGAACCUGCCUUGGAGUGGGGAAUAACACAGUGAAAAUUGUGCUAAUACCGCAUAAUGCAGUUGGGCCGCAUGGCUCUGACUGCCAAAGAUUUAUCGCUCUGAGAUGGCCUCGCGUCUGAUUAGCUAGUUGGUGGGGUAACGGCCCACCAAGGCGACGAUCAGUAGCCGGACUGAGAGGUUGGCCGGCCACAUUGGGACUGAGACACGGCCCAGACUCCUACGGGAGGCAGCAGUGGGGAAUAUUGGGCAAUGGGCGCAAGCCUGACCCAGCAACGCCGCGUGAAGGAAGAAGGCUUUCGGGUUGUAAACUUCUUUUCUUAGGGACGAAGUAAGUGACGGUACCUAAGGAAUAAGCCACGGCUAACUACGUGCCAGCAGCCGCGGU